GGGGGGGCAAGCGUUGUUCGGAAUUACUGGGCGUAAAGGGCGCGCAGGCGGCCUGGCAAGUCCUACGUGAAAUCCCACAGCUCAACUGUGGAACUGCGUGGGAUACUGCCAGGCUUGAGUCCGGGAGAGGAGAGUGGAAUUCCCAGUGUAGCGGUGAAACGCGUAGAUAUUGGGAGGAACACCGGUGGCGAAGGCGGCUCUCUGGACCGGUACUGACGCUGAGGCGCGAAAGCUAGGGGAGCAAACGGGGAUUAGAUACCCCGGUAGUCCUAGCCGUAAACUUUGAGCACUUGGUGUGGCGGGUAUCGACCCCCUGCCGUGCCGAAGCUAACGCAUUAAGUGCUCCGCCCGGGGAGUACGAUCGCAAGGCUG
This 372-nucleotide ribosomal RNA is filed under the name uncultured organism. Its description in RNAcentral is "partial 16S ribosomal RNA". It matches the Rfam family "Bacterial small subunit ribosomal RNA", at positions 528 to 896 of the family's 1533-position model. The record is from RNAcentral.